UACGUAGGGUGCGAGCGUUAUUCGGAAUUACUGGGCGUAAAGCGUGCGUAGGCGGUUCGCUGUGUCCGAUGUGAAAGCCCCGGGCUUAACCUGGGAAUGGCAUUGGAAACUGGCGGGCUUGAGUGCGGCAGAGGGGGGUGGAAUUCCGCGUGUAGCAGUGAAAUGCGUAGAGAUGCGGAGGAACACCGAUGGCGAAGGCAGCCCCCUGGGCCAACACUGACGCUCAGGCACGAAAGCGUGGGGAGCAAACAGG
RNAcentral lists this ribosomal RNA (253 nucleotides) under uncultured bacterium. Its description in RNAcentral is "partial 16S ribosomal RNA". It matches the Rfam family "Bacterial small subunit ribosomal RNA", at positions 524 to 776 of the family's 1533-position model. The record is from RNAcentral.